AAUAUUGCACAAGGGGCACAAUCCUGACGUAGCGUCGCCGCUUUGGGGAUGAAGGCCUUCGGGUUGUAAACUCCUUUCGCUAUCCAAGAAGCCUCUCAGGUGACGGUAGGCAGAUAUGAAGCACCGCCUAACUACUUGCCAGCAGCCACAGUAAUACGUCGGGUGCAAGCGCUGUCCGGAAUUACUGGGCGUAAAGAGCUCGUAGGUGGUUUGUCGCGUCGUCUGUGAAAUCCCGGGGCUUAACUUCGGGCGUGCAGGCGAUACGGGCAUAACUUGAGUGCUGUAGGGGAGACUGGAAUUCCUGGUGUAGCGGUGAAAUGCGCAGAUAUCAGGAGGAACACCGAUGGCGAAGGCAGGUCUCUGGGCAGUUACUGACGCUGAGGAGCGAAAGCAUGGGUAGCGAACA
Molecule: ribosomal RNA, 406 nt
Filed under: uncultured bacterium
Lineage: Bacteria
Description: partial 16S ribosomal RNA
Rfam family: Bacterial small subunit ribosomal RNA
Source: RNAcentral